Molecule: long non-coding RNA, 882 nt
Filed under: Medicago truncatula (barrel medic)
Lineage: Eukaryota; Viridiplantae; Streptophyta; Magnoliopsida; Fabales; Fabaceae
Description: long non-coding RNA (MTRU_LNC008734)
Source: RNAcentral
CAAUUACACCACCAAAAACUCCUUCUCCCAUCCACACCCCUCCUAAUGUUCCUUAUACUCCUUCCCCUACCAAUCAACCACCAUAUGUGCCAAUUACACCACCAAAAACUCCUUCACCUAUUCAUGCCCCUCCUAAUGUUCCUUAUACUCCUUCACCUACCAAUCAACCACCUUAUGUUCCAAUUACACCACCAAAAACUCCUUCUCCCAUCCACACCCCUCCUAAUGUUCCUUAUACUCCUUCCCCUAGCAAUAAACCACCAUAUGUACCAAUUACACCUCCAAAAGCUCCUUCCCCAAGCAAUCAUGCACCUAAUGUUCCAAUUACACCUCCAAAGACUCCUUCUCCUACUUACAAUCCUAUUCCUCCUAGUAAUGUUCCUUACACUCCUCCAAAAGCUCCUUCCCCUAACAAUGAACCGCCAUAUACACCAAUUCCUCCAAAAACUCCUUCUCCCGUCUCUCAACCACCCUAUGUACCAAUUACACCACCUAAAUCUCCUUCUCCAAUUCACACCCCUCCUAAUGUUCCUUACACACCUCCAACAACCCCUUCCCCAAGCAAUCACCCUCCGCAUGUUCCAAUUAUACCUCCAACAACACCCUCUCCUUUUUCUCAACCUCCAUAUGUGCCAACACCUCCCAAAACCCCUUCUCCAAUUUCUCAAGCACCUUACAUUCAAACACCUCCAAAAGCUCCUUCCCCAAGCAAUAACCCUCGAAAUGUACCAACACCUCCGAAAACCCCUUCUCCCAUUUCCCAAGCUCCUUAUAUUCAAACACCUCCAAACACUCCUUCACCAACAUCACAACCACCAUACAUUCAAACACCUCCAAACACUCCUUCUUCUCCGACAUCACAACCACCAUACAUUUCAACAC